Gadus macrocephalus (Pacific cod) is the source of this 1011-nucleotide long non-coding RNA. RefSeq lists it as uncharacterized. The transcript is spliced from 2 exons. The record is from RefSeq and is a predicted model, not a curated record. Lineage: Eukaryota; Metazoa; Chordata; Actinopteri; Gadiformes; Gadidae.
CAACAUGUAGUUUGUUGUCAUGGUGACUGUCAGCUGUGCGGCAGUCCCAGCCAAUCACGGUGGGAGACUAUCUAUAAAGGCGGGCGUAGAGCACCUGUCGGCCUCUUGCUUGCCGUAGGCUGGGUCACGUUGCGCCUGGGCGUCCAUUUCCGCUUCCGUGCGGUGACAGGCUCUUGCUUGCCGGAGGCUGGGUCACGUAGCUCCUGUGCGUCUAUUUCCGCUUCUGUGCAGUGAUAGGUGAGCUGCCGGUCACGGCUGCAUCUCUCUUAUACGUUGCCUUUCCAGUGCUAAUUUUAGUUAUUGUGUUGUAAAGGGCUCACUUGGAUGUUGCUGCUGGCUGCGUGCUGCUCAUCGAUACAUAGCCGAUGCCGCCUACUGAACUGUCGCUUUUGUAUAGCGUCCCGUUCCCUGCUCCACGCCACGUUGGCCGGGACUGCCCGAUUGGGUGGCCGACAGUAGCGGCGCAGCGGCGGCCAAUCCACCUAUAAAAACCACUGCUGCUUUGCUUCCACGUUAUUACCGCCUUGCCAGGGGCCAGCUCGGACCCGAUCGCUUUGCCGUUCAUUCGGCUAGCGAUAGUUUGUUCCUUUUCCUGUUGUGUCUCUAUCUCUUUUGUUUAGUUGGUGUAACUACAUCUUAAAGUGUGUAUGUUAUGUUAUGUAAGAGUUUUUGCUGAUUUCUCCUUGUGUUUACUUAUUAUAGAUUUUGUUUAUUUAAUUAAUUUCUCUUAUUAUUAUUUUGUUUCCAUUAUGUUUUCUAACUGGUUGCUCUGCGAUCCCCCUCAAUUCAGGUGCUGAGCCUACGGUGGUGGACUGGUGUCCCCUUUGUAUUGUGUUUGCAUUUGGUUUAUUUUUCAUUUGUUUUACGUGUGGUGUUCCUGGGACCCCCUUUCCUUUGGAUGCAGGUGUUCACAGUAGGUCUCAGCACUGAUUGGAUCUCAGCACCCAAUUUCCCUCCUUAGUGAGUAAUUCUUUAGUAGUCUUAAGAACAGACAUUUUCUAUAAAUAAAAG